RNAcentral lists this ribosomal RNA (404 nucleotides) under Verrucomicrobiota bacterium. Its description in RNAcentral is "Verrucomicrobia bacterium partial 16S ribosomal RNA". It matches the Rfam family "Bacterial small subunit ribosomal RNA", at positions 355 to 776 of the family's 1533-position model. The record is from RNAcentral. Lineage: Bacteria; Pseudomonadati; Verrucomicrobiota.
UGGGGAAUAUUGGACAAUGGGCGCAAGCCUGAUCCAGCCAUGCCGCGUGAGUGAUGAAGGCCCUAGGGUUGUAAAGCUCUUUCACCGGUGAAGAUAAUGACGGUAACCGGAGAAGAAGCCCCGGCUAACUUCGUGCCAGCAGCCGCGGUAAUACGAAGGGGGCUAGCGUUGUUCGGAUUUACUGGGCGUAAAGCGCACGUAGGCGGACUUUUAAGUCAGGGGUGAAAUCCCGGGGCUCAACCCCGGAACUGCCUUUGAUACUGGAAGUCUUGAGUAUGGUAGAGGUGAGUGGAAUUCCGAGUGUAGAGGUGAAAUUCGUAGAUAUUCGGAGGAACACCAGUGGCGAAGGCGGCUAUCUGGACAGUAACUGACGCUGAGGCGCGAAAGCGUGGGUAGCAAACAGG